UCUUAAACUCCUAACACAUUAUUUAGUAUAUUUUUAUCUACACUGACCAAUGUAUAAUUUCCUAUAUCUACAUCUUUAAAUAUGCAUUACAUAUGGAUAAUUUGUUUUAAAAAUGAAGACACUCCUAUUCAGAUAUCUAUGUAAGAACAUUUAGUAGAAAUGUUUAUACACACCUUGACUGAAGUUGAGAGGUAAUGAAACAUCUUCUGUCUCGGUCAACGUUAGUAACAGUUCCCCACUUGUAAGAUAAGUUAGUUCUUCAAAUCCCAAACAUGUUCCCCAGAUCGGGAAAUAGUCACCAUUGUCAUUGGCCUGA
Pelobates cultripes (western spadefoot toad) is the source of this 316-nucleotide non-coding RNA. NCBI's taxonomy places the organism in Eukaryota, Metazoa, Chordata, Amphibia, Anura, Pelobatidae. The record is from the annotation of a GenBank genome assembly.